RNAcentral lists this ribosomal RNA (812 nucleotides) under uncultured Alphaproteobacteria bacterium. Its description in RNAcentral is "bacterial SSU rRNA". It matches the Rfam family "Bacterial small subunit ribosomal RNA", at positions 8 to 867 of the family's 1533-position model. Lineage: Bacteria; Pseudomonadati; Pseudomonadota; Alphaproteobacteria. The record is from RNAcentral.
AGAGUUUGAUCAUGGCUCAGAACGUACGCUGGCGGCACGCCUAACACAUGCAAGUCGAACGAAGUAGCAAUACUUAGUGGCAGACGGGUGAGUAACAUGUAGGUAUCUGCCCUUUGGCCUGGAAUAACACGAGGAAACUUGUGCUAAUACCGGAUAAGUCUUUACGGAGAAAGCUUUAUGCACCAUUGGAUGAGCCUGCACUUGAUUAGUUUGUUGGUGGGGUAAUGGCCUACCAAGACUGUGAUCAAUAGCUGAUUUGAGAGGAUGAUCAGCCACAUUGGGACUGAGACACGGCCCAAACUCCUACGGGAGGCAGCAGUGGGGAAUCUUGCACAAUGGAGGAAACUCUGAUGCAGCGAUGCCGCGUGAGUGAAGAAGGCCCUUGGGUUGUAAAGCUCUUUCGUCGGGGAAGAAAAUGACUGUACCCGAAUAAGAAGGUCCGGCUAACUUCGUGCCAGCAGCCGCGGUAAUACGAAGGGACCUAGCGUAGUUCGGAAUUACUGGGCUUAAAGAGUUCGUAGGUGGUUGAAAAAGUUAGUGGUGAAAUCCCAGAGCUUAACUCUGGAACUGCCAUUAAAACUUUUCAGCUAGAGUAUGAUAGAGGAAAGCAGAAUUUCUAGUGUAGAGGUGAAAUUCGUAGAUAUUAGAAAGAAUACCAAUUGCGAAGGCAGCUUUCUGGAUCAUUACUGACACUGAGGAACGAAAGCAUGGGUAGCGAAGAGGAUUAGAUACCCUCGUAGUCCAUGCCGUAAACGAUGUGUGUUAGACGUUGGAAACUUAUUUUUCAGUGUCGCAGGGAAACCGAUAAACAC